Molecule: long non-coding RNA, 604 nt
Organism: Girardinichthys multiradiatus
Lineage: Eukaryota; Metazoa; Chordata; Actinopteri; Cyprinodontiformes; Goodeidae
Exons: 3
Source: RefSeq, a predicted model, not a curated record
GUUUGUUUAUUUUCUAUUAAACCCUUUCACCAACUCCACUCAUCCUGCAUUUGGGUCCUACCUCAAAACUCAUCAUAACAGUGGUCUUGGGUUUUUUCUUUGGUAUGGAUUGACAGCUUGAGCAGAUGACAUCGUGGAAGCCCAAACACACACUGUAACUGAUAAUGACCAUGGGGGCUGUACAUAGGAUCUUGUGGCACUCAAAUGUAACAUCUGAGUCAGCUAUUGCCAGCCUUCAUUUCCAUGAUAUCGGUUCAAGAUUCUGCAGAAUUGGAGAGACACCAGCUCAGUUCGUAGCAGUAGCAACUACAAAUGGUCCUUCUGCCACCGGAGGGUGCCACAGGGUGCCAGACCAGCAGUAAUAGCCUCUAAGAUGCUGCCACGCCGACUGCUGCUGUUUCUGUUGAGCCAAAAGCUGCCUAUUGGAAAAUGGGUUGUCGUUGUAGUUAUUAGCUGUUGACUGUUAUUCAGUUACCUCUUUCAAAUGAUGAUGUCAUUAUUAGUUAUUAUUUAAUAAAACCUGUUAGACCUAUAAUAAAGGUUGACUGUAUUUACUUGAGAUAGAAACUAUGUCCUAAAUAGCAUUAUGUGUAUGUAUGACGUG